This 253-nucleotide ribosomal RNA is filed under the name uncultured bacterium. RNAcentral's name for it is "partial 16S ribosomal RNA". It matches the Rfam family "Bacterial small subunit ribosomal RNA", at positions 524 to 776 of the family's 1533-position model. The record is from RNAcentral.
UACGGAGGGAGCUAGCGUUGUUCGGAUUUACUGGGCGUAAAGCGUGUGUAGGUGGUUAUUCAAGUCGGUUGUGAAAUCCCCGGGCUCAACCUGGGAACUGUUUCCGAGACUGAAAGACUAGAGUACGGUAGAGGGUGGUGGAAUUUCCGGUGUAGUGGUGAAAUGCGUAGAUAUCGGAAGGAACAUCAAUGGCGAAGGCAGCCACCUGGGCCUGUACUGACACUGAGACACGAAAGCGUGGGGAUCAAACAGG